GAUGAACGCUGGCGGCGUGCCUAAUACAUGCAAGUCGAGCGAACAGACGAGGAGCUUGCUCCUCUGACGUUAGCGGCGGACGGGUGAGUAACACGUGGAUAACCUACCUAUAAGACUGGGAUAACUUCGGGAAACCGGAGCUAAUACCGGAUAAUAUAUUGAACCGCAUGGUUCAAUAGUGAAAGACGGUUUUGCUGUCACUUAUAGAUGGAUCCGCGCCGCAUUAGCUAGUUGGUAAGGUAACGGCUUACCAAGGCAACGAUGCGUAGCCGACCUGAGAGGGUGAUCGGCCACACUGAAACUGAGACACGGUCCAGACUCCUACGGGAGGCAGCAGUAGGGAAUCUUCCGCAAUGGGCGAAAGCCUGACGGAGCAACGCGGCGUGAGUGAUGAAGGUCUUCGGAUCGUAAAACUCUGUUAUUAGGGAAGAACAAAUGUGUAAGUAACUAUGCACGUCUUGACGGUACCUAAUCAGAAAGCCACGGCUAACUACGU
Molecule: ribosomal RNA, 496 nt
Filed under: uncultured bacterium
Lineage: Bacteria
Description: partial 16S ribosomal RNA
Rfam family: Bacterial small subunit ribosomal RNA
Source: RNAcentral